UGAUGUGAGGGUCAUAUGGGAGUGUGGUCUCUCCCGUUUGGCCAUUUCCCUGCUAUAUAAGAGCUGCACACUUACACUUGGCCACAACCACAGCAGAGGCAGAUUCUAUAUCCAUCUAGUAUUGGCAGAGCAAGAGCAAGAGCAAGAGCACAGCACAGCUUUCUUCCUUCACAACCACCUUCCUGUUCAGGCGCCCGUUCUAGCUCAGGAUGGAGUACAAGGGGAAGAGCCAUGGCAGCAAGCACCGGGGAGGGUCCGGAUCAGGAGGGCUCAGCAGGAUGCUGCGGGAGCACAAGGCCAGGCUCUACAUCAUUCGCCGAUGCGUCGUCAUGCUCCUCUGCUCUUGAUCCCAUUCUUCUUCUCGAUAGCUUAGGCUUGACAGAUUCUUUGGUGCGUGAGUACAUAACAUAGGGUAGUUUAGAAGGUCCCGAUGGAUGUUGCUCCAAGUUUUGGUGUGGUAUGGUGCUCCUAAGUCCUGCAAUGGCAAGGUUGUACAUGUACUCAUGUGUCAGGUGUUGGAGUGUUACUUUGUGUGUUUGCUCUAUCAGCACAAGCG
This 556-nucleotide ribosomal RNA is filed under the name Triticum aestivum (bread wheat). RNAcentral's name for it is "partial small subunit ribosomal RNA". The record is from RNAcentral. Lineage: Eukaryota; Viridiplantae; Streptophyta; Magnoliopsida; Poales; Poaceae.